This 492-nucleotide ribosomal RNA is filed under the name uncultured bacterium. RNAcentral describes it as "partial 16S ribosomal RNA". It matches the Rfam family "Bacterial small subunit ribosomal RNA", at positions 29 to 507 of the family's 1533-position model. The record is from RNAcentral.
AGUGAACGCUGGCGGUAGGCCUAACACAUGCCAGUCGAACGGCAGCACAGUAAGAGCUUGCUCUUACGGGUGGCGAGUGGCGGACGGGUGAGGAAUACAUCGGAAUCUACUUUUUCGUGGGGGAUAACGUAGGGAAACUUACGUUAAUACCGCAUACGACCUACGGGUGAAAGCAGGGGAUCUUCGGACCUUGCGCGAUUGAAUGAGCCGAUGUCGUAUUAGCUAGUUGGCGGGGUAAAGGCCCACCAAGGCGACGAUCCGUAGCUGGUCUGAGAGGAUGAUCAGCCACACUGGAACUGAGACACGGUCCAGACUCCUACGGGAGGCAGCAGUGGGGAAUAUUGGACAAUGGGCGCAAGCCUGAUCCAGCCAUACCGCGUGGGUGAAGAAGGCCUUCGGGUUGUAAAGCCCUUUUGUUGGGAAAGAAAAGCAGCAGGUUAAUACCCCGCUGUUCUGACGGUACCCAAAGAAUAAGCACCGGCUAACUUCGUG